GACGAACGCUGGCGGCGUGCUUAACACAUGCAAGUCGAACGGAAAGGCCCUGCUUUUGUGGGGUGCUCGAGUGGCGAACGGGUGAGUAACACGUGAGUAACCUGCCCUUGACUUUGGGAUAACUUCAGGAAACUGGGGCUAAUACCGGAUAGGAGCUCCUGCUGCAUGGUGGGGGUUGGAAAAUUUCGGCGGUUGGGGAUGGACUCGCGGCUUAUCAGCUUGUUGGUGGGGUAGUGGCUUACCAAGGCUUUGACGGGUAGCCGGCCUGAGAGGGUGACCGGCCACAUUGGGACUGAGAUACGGCCCAGACUCCUACGGGAGGCAGCAGUGGGGAAUAUUGCACAAUGGGCGGAAGCCUGAUGCAGCAACGCCGCGUGCGGGAUGACGGCCUUCGGGUUGUAAACCGCUUUCGCCUGUGACGAAGCGUGAGUGACGGUAAUGGGUAGAGAAGCACCGGCUAACUACGUG
Molecule: ribosomal RNA, 468 nt
Filed under: uncultured bacterium
Lineage: Bacteria
Description: partial 16S ribosomal RNA
Rfam family: Bacterial small subunit ribosomal RNA
Source: RNAcentral